This 796-nucleotide ribosomal RNA is filed under the name uncultured bacterium. Its description in RNAcentral is "bacterial SSU rRNA". It matches the Rfam family "Bacterial small subunit ribosomal RNA", at positions 8 to 796 of the family's 1533-position model. The record is from RNAcentral.
AGAGUUUGAUCAUGGCUCAGGAUGAACGCUAGCGACAGGCCUAACACAUGCAAGUCGAGGGGCAGCACAUGAGUAGCAAUACUUUGGUGGCGACCGGCGCACGGGUGAGUAACACGUAUGCAACCUGCCUGUAAGAGGGGAAUAACCCGGAGAAAUUCGGACUAAUACCGCAUAAUACCACGAAGCUGCAUGGCUUUGUGGUUAAACAUUUAUGGCUUACAGAUGGGCAUGCGUAUGAUUAGCUAGUUGGUGAGGUAACGGCUCACCAAGGCAACGAUCAUUAGGGGUUCUGAGAGGAAGGUCCCCCACACUGGUACUGAGACACGGACCAGACUCCUACGGGAGGCAGCAGUGAGGAAUAUUGGUCAAUGGGCGAGAGCCUGAACCAGCCAAGUCGCGUGAAGGAAGAAGGUUCUAUGGAUUGUAAACUUCUUUUAUAAGGGAAUAAAAAAGAGUACGYGUACUCUAUUGUAUGUACUUUAUGAAUAAGGAUCGGCUAACUCCGUGCCAGCAGCCGCGGUAAUACGGAGGAUCCAAGCGUUAUCCGGAUUUAUUGGGUUUAAAGGGUGCGUAGGCGGACCUUUAAGUCAGUGGUGAAAGUUUGCGGCUCAACCGUAAAAUUGCCAUUGAAACUGAAGGUCUUGAGUGUAAAUAAGGUAGGCGGAAUGUGUUGUGUAGCGGUGAAAUGCUUAGAUAUAACACAGAACACCAAUUGCGAAGGCAGCUUACUGGGAUACAACUGACGCUGAGGCACGAAAGCGUGGGGAUCAAACAGGAUUAGAUACCCUGGUAGUCC